CAUGUGCUUGCUUUCACUGUCAGGGAGAAGCUGGCAGCUCUGAGGGGAGCAGGGUGAAGCCAAAUACUGAACUGCAUGCUGGAGGCUGCUGUUGACUACAAAGGGAGUUGAAGUGACCAGCUGAGAUCAGCUUCUAAAUGGGUAAACCCAGUAUUAAAGGCAGAAAUCAAAGCACAGGACCCAUGGGAAGCGACGUUUCAAAUGUACACCAUUGCUUUUCUUCGUCAUUGUUCUGAACUGUGCACCCUCUGCUCCUGACAGUGCACCCACAACAAGAUAAGGAGGU
This 286-nucleotide long non-coding RNA is filed under the name Gallus gallus (chicken). RNAcentral's name for it is "long non-coding RNA NONGGAT008894". The record is from RNAcentral. Lineage: Eukaryota; Metazoa; Chordata; Aves; Galliformes; Phasianidae.